CUUGGUCAUUAGAGGAAGUAAAAGUCGUAACAAGGUCUCCGUUGGUGAACCAGCGGAGGGAUCAUUACCGAGUUUACAACUCCCAAACCCCUGUGAACAUACCAAUUGUUGCCUCGGCGGAUCAGCCCGCUCCCGGUAAAACGGGACGGCCCGCCAGAGGACCCCUAAACUCUGUUUCUAUAUGUAACUUCUGAGUAAAACCAUAAAUAAAUCAAAACUUUCAACAACGGAUCUCUUGGUUCUGGCAUCGAUGAAGAACGCAGCAAAAUGCGAUAAGUAAUGUGAAUUGCAGAAUUCAGUGAAUCAUCGAAUCUUUGAACGCACAUUGCGCCCGCCAGUAUUCUGGCGGGCAUGCCUGUUCGAGCGUCAUUUCAACCCUCAAGCCCAGCUUGGUGUUGGGACUCGCGAGUUAAACCGCGUUCCCCAAAUUGAUUGGCGGUCACGUCGAGCUUCCAUAGCGUAGUAGUAAAACCCUCGUUACUGGUAAUCGUCGCGGCCACGCCGUUAAACCCCAACUUCUGAAUGUUGACCUCGGAUCAGGUAGGAAUACCCGCUGAACUUAAGCAUAUCAAUAAGCGGAGG
RNAcentral lists this ribosomal RNA (582 nucleotides) under Fusarium sp. RNAcentral describes it as "eukaryotic LSU rRNA". The stretch from base 216 to 369 matches the Rfam family "5.8S ribosomal RNA". Lineage: Eukaryota; Fungi; Ascomycota; Sordariomycetes; Hypocreales; Nectriaceae. The record is from RNAcentral.